UCCAGACUCCUACGGGAGGCAGCAGUGGGGGAUAUUGCACAAUGGGGGGAACCCUGAUGCAGCGACGCCGCGUGGGUGAAGAAGCGCCUCGGCGCGUAAAGCCCUGUCAGCAGGGAAGAAAAUGACGGUACCUGAAGAAGAAGCCCCGGCUAACUACGUGCCAGCAGCCGCGGUAAUACGUAGGUGGCAAGCGUUAUCCGGAUUUACUGGGUGUAAAGGGCGUGUAGGCGGGACUGCAAGUCAGAAGUGAAAGCCCGGGGCUCAACUCCGGGACUGCUUUUGAAACUGUGUUGCUAGAUUGCAGGAGAGGUAAGUGGAAUUCCUAGUGUAGCGGUGAAAUGCGUAGAUAUUAGGAGGAACACCAGUGGCGAAGGCGGCUUACUGGACUGUAAAUGACGCUGAGGCUCGAAAGCGUGGGGAGCAAACAGGAUUAGAUACCCCCGUAUCA
RNAcentral lists this ribosomal RNA (448 nucleotides) under uncultured bacterium. RNAcentral describes it as "partial 16S ribosomal RNA". It matches the Rfam family "Bacterial small subunit ribosomal RNA", at positions 330 to 795 of the family's 1533-position model. The record is from RNAcentral.